ACAGCAGUCGCCGCGGGAAUACGUAGGUGGCAAGCGUUGUCCGGAAUUAUUGGGCGUAAAGGGUGCGUAGGCGGUUUCGUAAGUCUGAUGUGAAAUCUAUGGGCUCAACCCAUAGUCUGCAUCGGAAACUGCGAGGCUUGAGAGUGGGAGAGGUGAGUGGAAUUUCCGGUGUAGCGGUGAAAUGCGUAGAUAUCGGAAGGAACACCUGUGGCGAAAGCGGCUCACUGGACCAUUUCUGACGCUGAUGCUCGAAAGCUAGGGGAGCAAACAGGAUUAGAUACCCCUGUAGUCCCUGUCUCUUAUAC
This 305-nucleotide ribosomal RNA is filed under the name uncultured bacterium. Its description in RNAcentral is "partial 16S ribosomal RNA". It matches the Rfam family "Bacterial small subunit ribosomal RNA", at positions 508 to 807 of the family's 1533-position model. The record is from RNAcentral.